GGCGUCCGGGUGAGUAACACGUGGGUAAUCUACCUCUGGGUGGGGAAUAACACCUCGAAAGAGGUGCUAAUACCGCAUAACGCAGCGGCACCUAAUGGUGAUUAGUUGUUAAAGCGGGGGAUCGCAAGACCUCGCGCCAGGAGAGGAGCCUGCGGCCGAUUAGCUAGUUGGUGAGGUAACGGCUCACCAAGGCUUCGAUCGGUAGCUGGUCUGAGAGGACGGCCAGCCACACUGGCACUGAAAUACGGGCCAGACUCCUACGGGAGGCAGCAGUGGGGAAUUUUGGGCAAUGGGCGCAAGCCUGACCCAGCAACGCCGCGUGAGGGAGGAAAUCCUUCGGGAUGUAAACCUCGCAAGCAGGGGAAGAGUGCUUUCGACCUAAUACGUCGAAAGAAGGACGGUACCCUGCGUAAGCCACGGCUAACUACGUGCCAGCCGCCGCGG
Molecule: ribosomal RNA, 444 nt
Filed under: uncultured bacterium
Lineage: Bacteria
Description: bacterial SSU rRNA
Rfam family: Bacterial small subunit ribosomal RNA
Source: RNAcentral